CCUACGGGUGACAGCAGUGGGGAAUAUUGCACAAUGGGGGAAACCCUGAUGCAGCGACGCCGCGUGAGUGAAGAAGUAAUUCGGUAUGUAAAGCUCUAUCAGCAGGGAAGAAAAUGACGGUACCUGAGUAAGAAGCCCCGGCUAACUACGUGCCAGCAGCCGCGGUAAUACGUAGGGGGCAAGCGUUAUCCGGAUUUACUGGGGGUAAAGGGAGCGUAGACGGCAGUGCAAGUCUGGAGUGAAAGGCGGGGGCUCAACCCCCGGACUGCUCUGGAAACUGUACGGCUGGAGUGCAGGAGAGGUAAGUGGAAUUCCUAGUGUAGCGGUGAAAUGCGUAGAUAUUAGGAGGAACACCAGUGGCGAAGGCGGCUUACUGGACUGUAACUGACGUUGAGGCUCGAAAGCGUGGGGAGCAAACAGGAUUAGAUACCCGUGUAGUC
This 440-nucleotide ribosomal RNA is filed under the name uncultured bacterium. Its description in RNAcentral is "partial 16S ribosomal RNA". It matches the Rfam family "Bacterial small subunit ribosomal RNA", at positions 338 to 795 of the family's 1533-position model. The record is from RNAcentral.